UACGAAGGGGGCUAGCGUUGUUCGGAAUCACUGGGCGUAAAGCGCACGUAGGCGGAUUCUUAAGUCAGGGGUGAAAUUCCGGGGCUCAACCUCGGAACUGCCUUUGAUACUGGGGAUCUUGAGUCCGGGAGAGGUGAGUGGAACUGCGAGUGUAGAGGUGAAAUUCGUAGAUAUUCGCAAGAACACCAGUGGCGAAGGCGGCUCACUGGCCCGGAACUGACGCUGAGGUGCGAAAGCGUGGGGAGCAAACAGG
Molecule: ribosomal RNA, 253 nt
Filed under: uncultured bacterium
Lineage: Bacteria
Description: partial 16S ribosomal RNA
Rfam family: Bacterial small subunit ribosomal RNA
Source: RNAcentral